Molecule: Y RNA, 99 nt
Filed under: Microcebus murinus (gray mouse lemur)
Lineage: Eukaryota; Metazoa; Chordata; Mammalia; Primates; Cheirogaleidae
Description: Y RNA (ENSMICG00000029938.2)
Rfam family: Y RNA
About the family: Y RNAs are components of the Ro ribonucleoprotein particle (Ro RNP), in association with Ro60 and La proteins. The Y RNAs and Ro60 and La proteins are well conserved, but the function of the Ro RNP is not known.
Source: RNAcentral
GACAAGUUAUCUCACGUGAUUGUUCACAGUCAGUUACAGAUUGAACUCCUUGUUCUACUACUUUCCCCCCUCCUCACUACUGCACUUGACUAGUCUUAA